CGGUGUGUAACCUGCUUUGGGAGCAGGGGGUCGUGGGUUCGAAUCCCGCUACCCCGA
RNAcentral lists this transfer RNA (57 nucleotides) under Candidatus Phocaeicola gallistercoris. Its description in RNAcentral is "tRNA-Ser". Lineage: Bacteria; Pseudomonadati; Bacteroidota; Bacteroidia; Bacteroidales; Bacteroidaceae. The record is from RNAcentral.